RNAcentral lists this ribosomal RNA (253 nucleotides) under uncultured bacterium. RNAcentral describes it as "partial 16S ribosomal RNA". It matches the Rfam family "Bacterial small subunit ribosomal RNA", at positions 524 to 776 of the family's 1533-position model. The record is from RNAcentral.
GACAGAGGUCCCGAGCGUUAUGCGGAAUCACUGGGCUUAAAGCGUGUGUAGGCGGAUCGUUAAGUACCUUGUGAAAUCCCACGGCUUAACCGUGGAACUGCUUGGUAUACUGGCGAUCUUGAGCCACUUAGGGGCUACCGGAACAAAUGGUGGAGCGGUGAAAUGCGUAGAUAUCAUUUGGAACGCCAAUGGUGAAAACAGGUAGCUGGGAGUGUGCUGACGCUGAGACACGAAAGCCAGGGGAGCAAACGGG